This 223-nucleotide ribosomal RNA is filed under the name Clostridioides difficile. Its description in RNAcentral is "partial 16S ribosomal RNA". It matches the Rfam family "Bacterial small subunit ribosomal RNA", at positions 197 to 422 of the family's 1533-position model. The record is from RNAcentral. Lineage: Bacteria; Bacillati; Bacillota; Clostridia; Peptostreptococcales; Peptostreptococcaceae.
AAUAUCAAAGGUGAGCCAGUACAGGAUGGACCCGCGUCUGAUUAGCUAGUUGGUAAGGUAACGGCUUACCAAGGCGACGAUCAGUAGCCGACCUGGGAGGGUGAUCGGCCACAUUGGAACUGAGACACGGUCCAAACUCCUACGGGAGGCAGCAGUGGGGAAUAUUGCACAAUGGGCGAAAGCCUGAUGCAGCAACGCCGCGUGAGUGAUGAAGGCCUUCGGG